CUACGUGCCAAGCACUGAUGCUAUGUGGAUCAGCCUAUAAGGGGCACAGAAAGACUGAUGGCUCUCGAGUUCCCUUGAAAUCCAGUUUUUCAACAUCCAUCCUGAAUUGUGGACACCAGAAAUAAGCAUUCCAAGAGUGGGCAAGCACUACACGUAGAAUUCAUCUUCAGCUGAUUAUCCACCAACUCUCCCAAGUUUUCAGAGUUACUGUUUCCAAAGAGUCCCCCAUCCUAAAUGUGAUUGGCUGACUGAGAGACACCAUUUUUGAGGACUAUAAUGAUCUGGAAGAGGGAAGGACAAAUUUUCUUAGUCAUACCUCUCAGCCUCAGACCUGCCAAUGUAAGGUAGAAUCAACCUAUAUGUGUGACAAGUAACUGAAACGUGGAACCAUUCUGUUUAGAUGCACAUCACACCAUAAUUGCCUGCC
Molecule: long non-coding RNA, 427 nt
Organism: Trachemys scripta elegans
Lineage: Eukaryota; Metazoa; Chordata; Testudines; Emydidae
Exons: 3
Source: RefSeq, a predicted model, not a curated record